UACAGAGGUGCCGAGCGUUAGGCGGAAUCACUGGGCUUAAAGCGUGUGUAGGCGGAUGCCUAAGUACCUUGUGAAAUCCCAUAGCUCAACUAUGGAACUGCUUGGUAUACUGGGUGUCUUGAGCCACUUAGGGGUUACCGGAACAAAUGGUGGAGCGGUGAAAUGCGUAGAUAUCAUUUGGAACGCCAAUGGUGAAAACAGGUAACUGGGAGUGUGCUGACGCUGAGACACGAAAGCCAGGGGAGCGAACCGG
RNAcentral lists this ribosomal RNA (253 nucleotides) under uncultured bacterium. RNAcentral describes it as "partial 16S ribosomal RNA". It matches the Rfam family "Bacterial small subunit ribosomal RNA", at positions 524 to 776 of the family's 1533-position model. The record is from RNAcentral.